Molecule: transfer RNA, 63 nt
Filed under: Trigonopterus sp. 8 AH-2016
Lineage: Eukaryota; Metazoa; Arthropoda; Insecta; Coleoptera; Curculionidae
Description: tRNA-Trp
Source: RNAcentral
AAGAAUUUAAGUUAAAUAAAACUAUUAACCUUCAAAGUUAAAAUUAGACUAUUCUAAUUCUUA